GCUAACAGGGAGAUGCCAAUGACGUUAAGCGGGAGAGGCUCGCCGUCUCCUGCGCCACUCAGGCGACAGUUUGCCAAGAAGCCGGCGUUUAACGUGACCUCGCCGGUGCUGGCGAGUCUCAGCACCUUUGCUGAGUAUGCUGAUCGGCGCCAUGAACUCUUGGUAGACAUUCACGACGGACUCGAGGAUGAUGUGCGUAAAAUGGAGGAGCGGGCUAGACAGGCUGUCGCCCACGCAUCGGCAGUGACUGAAGCCUGCAGGGCUCAGGAGGCAGAGUGCCUAGAGUACAUUGAAAGACUGGAGGACAAUAUCAGGGACUUGCAUCGGGCCAAGCAGGAGUGUGCGGCAGAGCUGAAAGGCCUUCAGACGUCGACGGAAAGGAGCCGCCAGGACCUAGAGAAGGAGCUUCACGAUCUGCGCCAGGCCGUCGAGGAGACGCGGCGGCAGAAGCUGCUCGCCCAAGAAGAGCAGCAGCACUACGAAAUGCUCCGCGACGCCGCAAAACGCCACUACGAGCUGAUCGAGGCGUACCUGGAGGAAUUCACAGCGAAGGUCGAGUUUCACUUCCAUGAGGCUGUCGCAUCUCUCCAGGCAACGGCGCAAGAGCGGAAGCGGUGGGCAGACGAGCAGCGCGCACUCAAUGAGAAGCGCGUUCGCGAGGCCGCUCUGGGAGCAGAGAAGAGCGACUUCAGCGCCUUUCUUUGCCGUGCCACCGAGGAUGCCGAGAGGACGGGCGCCGCGAAGCCUGCAGAACAACGCGCAGCGGCUGUGGAGCCGCAACUCAUGCGCGACUUGGAGCGUGAUGUCGCGGCACUUGCGGCGUCUGUGGCAGCUCGAUUACAACUCAUCGUGGAACAGGAGAGCGCAGCCGAAGCCGGACUUGAAAGACUGCCACUGCGCAUCACUGAUGAAAGCUGCGACUUGAUUUACUCGUUGUGUCGAACUGCUGCUCAGUCGACGCUGGAGGGAGACCAGGAGAGCUGGAAGAGGGAUCAACGGGACAGCUGCGAAGCUGCAUCUGUCUCCCAUGCAACACGGGCGCUCGGCACUUUGGAGGUAACGGUGACGCAUGCGCUGCUCGACCUGUGUGCAGCGGCCGCUUCGGCCUCGUCAACACCAAGCGCGAAAUGUCGUGCGUGCCCUCACGAAUCCCCGACAGGAGCAGCGGCGCCUCUCCACAUCCGUGCCGCCAAUGCAUCUGCCAGCUCGAGUGUACCACCGUCAAGCGCCGGAAAGGCACUGCCCCCCACUCCAGUGCAGGCGCCAUCGUUGCCGGGGUCGUCUCGUCGGCAGAGCGAAAGCGUGACAUUCCCAGAACGCCGGCUCAUCGACGAUUUCUCGUGCACCACAGACGCGUUCGCGACCAUCUUUACUCCUCGCAAGUGAUGGCGGCGGCACCAAGCUCACGAGACACUUGCUGGGUGGGCUUUCGCACGUUUGUCUCCUCCUCUCUACCUCUCACGUGCGUCAC
This 1471-nucleotide unclassified non-coding RNA is filed under the name Leishmania donovani. RNAcentral describes it as "gene:LdHU3.31.5330(CDS-product:hypothetical_prote in_conserved)". The record is from RNAcentral. Lineage: Eukaryota; Euglenozoa; Kinetoplastea; Trypanosomatida; Trypanosomatidae.